Molecule: ribosomal RNA, 253 nt
Filed under: uncultured bacterium
Lineage: Bacteria
Description: partial 16S ribosomal RNA
Rfam family: Bacterial small subunit ribosomal RNA
Source: RNAcentral
GACGUAGGGCGCGAGCGUUGUCCGGAUUUAUUGGGCGUAAAGAGCUCGUAGGCGGCUCGUUGCGUCGGCUGUGAAAACCCGCGGCUCAACUGUGGGCUUGCAGCUGAUACGGGCGGGCUGGAGUUCGGUAGGGGAGACUGGAAUUCCUGGUGUAGCGGUGAAAUGCGCAGAUAUCAGGAGGGACACCGGUGGCGAAGGCGGGUCUCUGGGCCGAUACUGACGCUGAGGAGCGAAAGCGUGGGGAGCGAACAGG